AUGAUUGACGCUCGUAAAUGGCAGGCGAAAAACGAGUCCAGCAAGUUAGAAAAAAUUCCAAGUGUAAUUUUCCGCCAUCGUACAAAACCCCCUCUGCCCAGGAGUUGCUCAUCUUUAGUUCUCAGAAAGAGAGGAGAAGUUGUUUGUGCAUAUUUUCUCAUCUGAGUAGUCUACAGGUCCUAGCAGACACAACGUCUCUGAUAUUCUCAGAGACCUAAAAGGACAUGGAUAUGAAGCCUCUGAUGAUUCUCCUCCUGCUAGCAGCAGCUGUCACCACCACUUCUGCAGCACUUCUCACCACUACCGCCCCUGCAGCAGCUGUCACCACCACCCCCUGCAGCAGCUGUCACCACCACCACUCAUGCAGCACCUCUCACUACUACCGCCCCUGCAGCAGCUGUCACCACCACUUCUGCAGCAACUCUCACCACUACC
Long non-coding RNA from Oncorhynchus tshawytscha (Chinook salmon), 435 nucleotides. NCBI's taxonomy places the organism in Eukaryota, Metazoa, Chordata, Actinopteri, Salmoniformes, Salmonidae. The record is from Ensembl.